Molecule: ribosomal RNA, 315 nt
Filed under: uncultured eukaryote
Lineage: Eukaryota
Description: partial 18S ribosomal RNA
Rfam family: Eukaryotic small subunit ribosomal RNA
Source: RNAcentral
CCCUUAGACGUUCUGGGCCGCACGCGCGCUACACUGACCAGUGCAACAAGCAUCCGUCCUUGGCCGACAGGCCCGGGCAAUCUUUGAACGCUGGUCGUGAUGGGGAUAGACUUUUGCAAUUUUUGGUCUUCAACGAGGAAUACCUAGUAAACGCAAGUCAUCAACUUGCAUUGAUUACGUCCCUGCCCUUUGUACACACCGCCCGUCGCACCUACCGAUUGAAUGGUCCGGUGAAGCCUCCGGAUUGGCGCGCACCUCGGUGCCGCCGAGAAGUUGGCUAAACCUUACCAUUUAGAGGAAGGUGAAGUCGUAACA